Molecule: ribosomal RNA, 605 nt
Filed under: uncultured bacterium
Lineage: Bacteria
Description: bacterial SSU rRNA
Rfam family: Bacterial small subunit ribosomal RNA
Source: RNAcentral
ACAAGACCGCAUAGGCUCUCCUUUGUACGAGAAGGAGAGCAAAGCUCUCUCGCGAGGGAGGGCGCCUGGAGAGGGGCCUGUGGCCGAUUAGCUAGCUGGUGGGGUAAGAGCCUACCAGGGCGAUGAUCGGUAGCUGGUCUGAGAGGACGAGCAGGCACACUGGGAUUGAGAACGGCCCAGACUCCUACGGGGGGCAGCAGUGAGGAAUUUUCCGCAAUGGGCGCAAGCCUGACGGAGCAACGCCGCGUGCAGGAGGACGGCCUUCGGGUUGUAAACUGCUUUUUCUGGGGGACGAGCAAGGACGGUACCCCAGGAAGAAGCCCCGGCUCACUACGUGCCAGCAGCCGCGGUAAUACGUAGGGGGCGAGCGUUGUCCGGAGUUACUGGGCGUAAAGGGCCUGUAGGCGGUCCGGCGCGUGUCGGGUGCCAGCUGCUUGCUUAACGAGCAGAGGACCGGCCAGACGGCCGAACUGAGAGGGCCUCAGAGGGACAUCGAAUUCCGGGUGGAGUGGUGAAAUGCGUAGAGAUCCGGAGGAAGACCAAUGGCGAAGGCAGUGUCCUGGGAGGCGCCUGACGCUGAGGGGCGAAAGCCAGGGGAGCGAACG